This 424-nucleotide ribosomal RNA is filed under the name uncultured prokaryote. RNAcentral's name for it is "bacterial SSU rRNA". It matches the Rfam family "Bacterial small subunit ribosomal RNA", at positions 355 to 796 of the family's 1533-position model. The record is from RNAcentral.
UGGGGAAUAUUGGACAAUGGGGGCAACCCUGAUCCAGCCAUGCCGCGUGAGUGAUGACGGCCUUAGGGUUGUAAAGCUCUUUCGCUAGGGAAGAUAAUGACGGUACCUAGUAAAGAAGCCCCGGCUAACUUCGUGCCAGCAGCCGCGGUAAUACGAAGGGGGCUAGCGUUGUUCGGAAUUACUGGGCGUAAAGCGCGCGUAGGCGGGCUAUUAAGUCAGGGGUGAAAUCCCGGGGCUCAACCUCGGAAUUGCCUCUGAUACUGGUAGUCUAGAGUCCGAGAGAGGUGAGUGGAACUCCGAGUGUAGAGGUGAAAUUCGUAGAUAUUGGGAAGAACACCGGUGGCGAAGGCGGCCAUCUGGACCGGAUCUGACGCUGAGGCGCGAAAGCGUGGGGAGCAAACAGGAUUAGAUACCCCCGUAGUCC